UACGAAGGGGGCGAGCGUUGUUCGGAAUUACUGGGCGUAAAGGGCGCGCAGGCGGCUCUGAAAGUCAGAUGUGAAAGCCCCGGGCUUAACCUGGGAACUGCAUUUGAUACUCUGGAGCUUGAGUACGGGAGAGGAUAGUGGAAUUCCCAGUGUAGAGGUGAAAUUCGUAGAUAUUAGGAAGAACACCAGUGGCGAAGGCGGCCAACUGGCCCGAUACUGACGCUCAUGUGCGGAAA
This 236-nucleotide ribosomal RNA is filed under the name uncultured bacterium. RNAcentral's name for it is "partial 16S ribosomal RNA". It matches the Rfam family "Bacterial small subunit ribosomal RNA", at positions 524 to 759 of the family's 1533-position model. The record is from RNAcentral.